Physeter macrocephalus (sperm whale) is the source of this 562-nucleotide long non-coding RNA. RefSeq lists it as uncharacterized. The record is from RefSeq and is a predicted model, not a curated record. The transcript has 3 exons. Lineage: Eukaryota; Metazoa; Chordata; Mammalia; Artiodactyla; Physeteridae.
UGGCCUCCCCCUCCCGUCUCCUGACACCCGAUGUGAUAACAGCAGAGGAUGCUGAUCCAGCCGAGCACUAUCUCAGUUUAACAACCCUGAUGCAUGAGCCAACAUGAAGAGGCCACAGAGGAGACAACUGGAGUAUCAAAGAACACAGUGACUUAAGCUGAAAAACCGAACGCAUGAACACAGGAGUUCCUACUGAAAUAAAGCAGCGGCCUCCCCGUCCAAGAAACAACAAACAAACACUGGGUUACCAUCCGAGGAUUUCAGCUACCUGAAAAUUUUGUGGUGGUGAUAAAAAGUUGAAGAAAACGCAACGCUAGGGUUACUAUCAGACACUCCUGUGAGAAACAGUCUUUAGAAUCACCUUCGAAUUCUUCCCCAUCUCUGUGUCUCUCCCUGUGUCUGUCCGUCUGCCUGCCUGCCUAUGUACCUUUCAGCCCCAAGCUACAGGCUUUGAGCACCUGCUUUGCAGUUUAAACAGAUUUAGGACUGACCCUUCUAUAACCACUCAGAACAAGUCAGGUAUCUGGACACACUAUUAGUUUGGGCCCCUUAUUAUUUAAUC